This 309-nucleotide ribosomal RNA is filed under the name Triticum aestivum (bread wheat). RNAcentral's name for it is "partial small subunit ribosomal RNA". The record is from RNAcentral. Lineage: Eukaryota; Viridiplantae; Streptophyta; Magnoliopsida; Poales; Poaceae.
AUGAAAAGCAAACAAAAGAACACAAAAGUACACCGGAGAAGGCCUUGGGCCGCCGGCAAAGUGCGCCGCCACUCCGGCCGCGCCUGUUCCUCUCGAUCCCCACACGCAUCGGCAAGCCGAGGUGCGGGAACGAAGAACCAACCCCACACGGGGCAAAGAGCACCACCACCAAGCCGUUUGAUGGCGGCGCGUUCACCCUCGAGGUGCUCGCGCACGCCGGCAAAGGGGUCAGCGGGGGCGCCGCAUCGGAAGGCCGCGACACCUCUCUGCUCUCUCUCGCGCGCAUACAGGAGGUUAGUGGAUGGGUGA